RNAcentral lists this ribosomal RNA (367 nucleotides) under uncultured bacterium. RNAcentral describes it as "bacterial SSU rRNA". It matches the Rfam family "Bacterial small subunit ribosomal RNA", at positions 527 to 896 of the family's 1533-position model. The record is from RNAcentral.
GGAGGAUCCAAGCGUUAUCCGGAUUUAUUGGGUUUAAAGGGUGCGUAGGUGGUUCUUUAAGUCAGGGGUGAAAGACGGCAGCUUAACUGUCGCAGUGCCUUUGAUACUGAAGAACUUGAAUACACUAGAGGUAGGCGGAAUGUGACAAGUAGCGGUGAAAUGCAUAGAUAUGUCACAGAACACCAAUUGCGAAGGCAGCUUACUAUGGUGUCAUUGACACUGAGGCACGAAAGCGUGGGGAUCAAACAGGAUUAGAUACCCUGGUAGUCCACGCCCUAAACGAUGAAUACUCGAUGUUGGCGAUAUACGGUCAGCGUCUAAGCGAAAGCGUUAAGUAUUCCACCUGGGGAGUACGCCCGCAAGGGUG